This 69-nucleotide microRNA precursor is filed under the name Folsomia candida. RNAcentral's name for it is "mir-8/mir-141/mir-200 microRNA precursor family". It matches the Rfam family "mir-8/mir-141/mir-200 microRNA precursor family". From Rfam's summary of the family: The bounds of the precursors are predicted based on conservation and base pairing and are not generally known. Lineage: Eukaryota; Metazoa; Arthropoda; Collembola; Entomobryomorpha; Isotomidae. The record is from Rfam by way of RNAcentral.
UGGGUCAUCUUACCAGGCAGCAUUAGAGUCUAUUUAAUAAUCUAAUACUGUCAGGUAAAAGAUGGUCUU